AACAAAGAGAAGAGGCAACCUUCGCCCUCUCUGAUCUGGUUUGCCAGCGGCUCCGACCUCACUCUCUAAAAAGCCGGAACCGAACCCAAGGUUUUAAUUUUGCUCAAAUCCCACUAGUGGAAGCUGCCAACAAGCUACAUUCCGAUGAUGAGUCCAUGGAUUGAAUAUAUAUAAAAGGAAAAAAAAAAAAGAGAGAGAGAGAGAGAUUUCUUUCUCACUUCCAUGGCAUUUGAUGGGCUACCAACUGCAUAAGGUGCCCUUCUCCUAUGAUCCUAGCAACGGGGUAAAAAGAAAAUGAAAAGAAAUUAUUUAUAUCAUUUUAUAUUUUUCAAAUAAAAAUGUAUGUCAGUUUGUAAAGCUUGGGUAAUUGGUACUAUUUUUAUAUCAUUUUAUAUUUUUUAAAUAAAUAGUAUGUCAGUUUGAUUUAAUAAAA
Molecule: long non-coding RNA, 433 nt
Organism: Vitis vinifera (wine grape)
Lineage: Eukaryota; Viridiplantae; Streptophyta; Magnoliopsida; Vitales; Vitaceae
Exons: 2
Source: RefSeq, a predicted model, not a curated record